GGGAGUGUGGCUCAGUGGUAGAGCACUUGCACCCAAGAGGCCCUGGGUUCAACUCCCAUCACUGCUG
This 67-nucleotide transfer RNA is filed under the name Rattus norvegicus (Norway rat). It matches the Rfam family "tRNA". From Rfam's summary of the family: Transfer RNA (tRNA) molecules are approximately 80 nucleotides in length. Their secondary structure includes four short double-helical elements and three loops (D, anti-codon, and T loops). Lineage: Eukaryota; Metazoa; Chordata; Mammalia; Rodentia; Muridae. The record is from Rfam by way of RNAcentral.